UUAAGUUCAGCGGGUAGUCCUACCUGAUUUGAAAUCAAACGUUCAAAGGGCUGUCCUCACGGAGGAGAGACAUUUGUAAGCUCCAGUGAACCUCCACUGCUGAAGGUUACCCUGGUGGAAAACCACAAGCGUAGAUAGUUAUCACACCUGUGAUGCCCACCAAAAACCGGCAAGCUGAUUCGUUUAAGAGGAGCUGACCA
RNAcentral lists this unclassified non-coding RNA (200 nucleotides) under Tomentella sp. RNAcentral describes it as "partial internal transcribed spacer 2". Lineage: Eukaryota; Fungi; Basidiomycota; Agaricomycetes; Thelephorales; Thelephoraceae. The record is from RNAcentral.